This 85-nucleotide transfer RNA is filed under the name Myxococcales bacterium. RNAcentral's name for it is "tRNA-Tyr". The record is from RNAcentral. RNAcentral also lists the same sequence under 1 other name. Lineage: Bacteria; Pseudomonadati; Myxococcota; Myxococcia; Myxococcales.
GGAACGUGAUCAGUGGCCUGGGGCCACGGCUGGUUGUAACCCAGCUGCCCUUCGCGGGCGGGAGGUUCGAUUCCUUCACGUUCCA